AGAUUUUCAGACCGUGUCUGGUUCCUACUGUUAUUAUUCAUCGUACUAUGCCUAUUACUACUGCACAACUCUUUAUACUAGUACCUAUACCACAGGUGCCGAGGUGAUUGCGGGAGCGAUUGUUGGGGCUAUCUUUGUUAUUGUAGUGAUUGUGGUAGUGGUCAUUAUAGUUUGCAAGAAACAAGCGGCGACUCGAGCCCGUGUGAUAAACACCACACCAAGCACCACCGUCACCACCGUACACCAACCACAACCACCACCACCAGCAGCUGGAUACGGAUACGGUGGUCCUGGAAUUUCCCAGCCACCCAACCCUAAUGCUGGGUACCCACCUCCCCCAGCUACCUAUCCACCCCCUCCUGGCCCCGGGGCUGGUUAUCCACCUCCGGCUUACCCUCCGACUAAAUACUAAAUGAAACAGCCAAAGAUGCGCUGCGUCUUCGUGAAUUACUUUAUCUCUGGAAUUUCUAUAUUCUAAAUCAAAAAACUUAAUAUCUAUCCUUGAAUACUGUAAAUCACUUUGUAUUCGUGAUUACUUUAUUUUUGUCUGUCUGUUCGCAAA
Saccostrea cuccullata (small rock oyster) is the source of this 562-nucleotide long non-coding RNA. RefSeq lists it as uncharacterized. Lineage: Eukaryota; Metazoa; Mollusca; Bivalvia; Ostreida; Ostreidae. The transcript has 3 exons. The record is from RefSeq and is a predicted model, not a curated record.